CCUACGGGGUGCAGCAGUGGGGGAUAUUGCACAAUGGGGGAAACCCUGAUGCAGCGACGCCGCGUGUGGGAAGACGGUCCUCUGGAUUGUAAACCACUGUCCCCAGGGACGAAGAUGACGGUACCUGGGGAGGAAGCUCCGGCUAACUACGUGCCAGCAGCCGCGGUAAUACGUAGGGAGCAAGCGUUGUCCGGAUUUACUGGGUGUAAAGGGAGCGUAGGCGGGAUGGCAAGUUGGGUGUUAAAUCUACGGGCUCAACUGGUCGUCGCACUCAAAACUGCUAUUCUUGAGUGAAGUAGAGGCAGGCGGAAUUCCUAGUGUAGCGGUGAAAUGCGUAGAUAUUAGGAGGAACACCAGUGGCGAAGGCGGCCUGCUGGGCUUUUACUGACGCUGAGGCUCGAAAGUGUGGGGAGCAAACAGGAUUAGAUACCCUGGUAGUC
Molecule: ribosomal RNA, 440 nt
Filed under: uncultured bacterium
Lineage: Bacteria
Description: partial 16S ribosomal RNA
Rfam family: Bacterial small subunit ribosomal RNA
Source: RNAcentral